This is a long non-coding RNA of Manihot esculenta (cassava), 367 nucleotides long. RefSeq lists it as uncharacterized. The record is from RefSeq and is a predicted model, not a curated record. The transcript is spliced from 3 exons. Lineage: Eukaryota; Viridiplantae; Streptophyta; Magnoliopsida; Malpighiales; Euphorbiaceae.
AUGAAAUUAAAAAGGAGCAGUGGGUGGGGGGAGAUCAGUGGGGAGAAUUGUCGAGCAAUUCAUGUGCAUUUCUGCAAGAACACAGUGCUGAGCGUUAAUUGGUGUUUGAGAUAAUUUCGUGGGAAGGUGAGGGUUGUUUCUCGUAUGACAAAGUCAAUCAACGUCAGAUGAAUCUGCCAUUUUGACUCCAAGCUUUGAAUUCCUAACAUCUUUGUUACGAUACACCCAAAUUUCCAGGAAAAAAAGGCAGGCAGAAAAGGAGAGGAUCACAGACCAAAUUUAAAGAAGACAUAACCAAAAAAUGAUGUAAAAUGGGUUGUAAGUAUCUUACAUUGUCGUCAUCUUCUUCAUGAUUGUUACUAGCAGC